Molecule: long non-coding RNA, 759 nt
Filed under: Equus caballus (horse)
Lineage: Eukaryota; Metazoa; Chordata; Mammalia; Perissodactyla; Equidae
Description: lncRNA (ENSECAG00000055759.1)
Source: RNAcentral
GUUUGGUUACUUGGAUUGCCCUGAAGACAACCUCCUGAGCACCUCAUGCUGGCAAGUGGCCGUGAUCCUGACACAUGCACAGGGCUCGAUGACUCAGGUGGAAUUAUCGUCUCCAUUUUAUAAUGAGGACUUCGAUGCUGAAAUGGUCAGUGAAUUGCCCAGAGUCACACAGUUAAUGAGUGUUGAACAGAAUUAGAACCCAGAUAGUAAAAUCCAGAGCCAGCAUCAUCUCUGAUGAGUUUGGGGAUCGGAAAGAAUGACAGGCCUUGCAUCCCACGUGGAAUUCUGGGGGGAGAGAAAUCUGACAAUAUUCAUGUGAGAGGCAACCUCUAAGAUGUCGCCCAGUGAACUCCACCUCCUGGUGCUGACGUGCUUUCGUAGUGCUGUUCCACAUUGCAUCAAAGUGAUGAAUAGAUUGGUAUGUGACUUCUGAGGCUAGGUCACCAGGACAAUGUGGCUUCUUCUUUGCUCUCUCUCUCGGAUCACUCACUCUGGGGGCAGCUAGCUGUCACGUCCUGAGGAGUCUUCAGGAGAAGCCUACAGGGUGAGGAACCGAGGUCUCUGGCCAACAGCCAGUGAGGACUGAGGCCUCCUGCCAGUGUGUGACUCCUGCCAUGAGUGACCUCGGGAGUGGAUCCUCCAGCCCCAGCCAAACUUUUGGAUGUCUGCAGCCCUCCUGACGUCUUGACUACAGCUUCAUGUGGGACCCUGAGCCACAACCACCCAAAGCAAGAGAAAAGAAAUAGAUCGUUGGUGUCA